Molecule: ribosomal RNA, 481 nt
Filed under: uncultured bacterium
Lineage: Bacteria
Description: bacterial SSU rRNA
Rfam family: Bacterial small subunit ribosomal RNA
Source: RNAcentral
GAUGAAGCUGGCGGCGUGCUUUAUGCAUGCAAGUCGAACGAGAAGGGAAGGACUUCGGUCCGACCUGGAGAGUGGCGAACGGGUGAGUAACACGUGAGUGACCUGCCCCGAGGUGGGGGACAACCGUGGGAAACCACGGCUAAUACCCCGUCGUCCUGUGCGCACUGGUCGCGUACAGGUAUAGCUCCGGCGCCUUGGGAGGGGCUCGCGGUCGAUUAGCUAGUUGGUGGGGUAACGGCCUACCAAGGCGACGAUCGAUAGCUGGUCUGAGAGGACGAUCAGCCACACUGGGACUGAGAUACGGCCCAGACUCCUACGGGGGGCAGCAGCAAGGAAUAUUGGACAAUGGGCGCAAGCCUGAUCCAGCAACGCCGCGUGGAGGAAGAAGGCUUCGGUUGUAAACUCCUUUUGUGAGGGAUGAGACAAGGACAGUACCUCGCGAAUAAGUCACGGCUAACUAGGUGCCAGCAGCCGCGGUAAC